ACGGCUCAGUAACACGUCGGUAAUCUGCCGUGUGGUCAAGAAUAAACUCGGGAAACUGAGGGGAAAUCUUGAUAGGAGAAUAUGUCUGGAAUGACUUUUCUCGAAAACUCGUGCCACACGAUGAGCCGGCGGCGGAUUAGGCUGUUGGCGGGGUAAUGGCCCACCAAACCGAAGAUCCGUACGGGCCUUGAGAGAGGGAGCCCGGAGAGGGACACUGAGAUACUGGUCCCAGCCCUACGGGGUGCAGCAGGCGCGAAAACUUUCCAAUGCACGAAAGUGUGAGAAGGGAAUCCCUAGUGCUUACACAUUGUGUAGGCUUUUGCCAAGUGUAAAUAGCUUGGCGAAUAAGUGGUGGGUAAGACCGGUGCCAGCCGCCGCGGUAACCCCGGCGCCACAAGUGGUCAUCGCGUUUAUUGGGUCUAAAGCGUCCGUAGCCGGUUUGGUAAAUCCAUUGUGAAAUCGUCUCGCUUAACGUGACGGCGCGCAGUGGACACCGCCAGACUCGAGACCGGGAGGGGACAGAGGUAUUCCGAAGGGAACGGUAAAAUGUGAUAAUCUUCGGAGGACCCCCAAUGGCGAAGGCAUCUGUCCAGAACGGAUCUGACGGUGAGGGACGAAAGCUAGGGGAGCAAACCGGAUUAGAUACCCGAGUAGUCCUAGCCGUAAACGCUGUGUGCUAGGUGUUGCGCAACCUACGAGGUUGUGCAGUGUCGAAAUGAAGAUGAUAAGCACACCACCUGGGAAGUACGGUCGCAAGGCUGAAACUUUAAGGAAUUGGCGGGGGAGCAC
Molecule: ribosomal RNA, 789 nt
Filed under: uncultured archaeon
Lineage: Archaea
Description: bacterial SSU rRNA
Rfam family: Archaeal small subunit ribosomal RNA
Source: RNAcentral